This is a long non-coding RNA of Pseudopipra pipra, 681 nucleotides long. RefSeq lists it as uncharacterized. NCBI's taxonomy places the organism in Eukaryota, Metazoa, Chordata, Aves, Passeriformes, Pipridae. The record is from RefSeq and is a predicted model, not a curated record. The transcript is spliced from 2 exons.
UGGCCAUUGGGUAGCGGCGCUGUCCCUCAGGACAGGCGGGGGCCCUGAUUGGCCCGAGGUGGUGGGGGUGGGCUCUCGGGGAGAAGAUCGCGGGCUGCCAUUGGCUGCACUGAGGCCCCGCCCCCGGGGGUCAGAGGGAGCGGAGCGGUUGCCGGGCAACGGCGGGAGCGGCCCGGGGAGCCCGGAGGGGAACUCGGACCGGGAUCCUCCCGGGACACCCCCGCUCCUGGGCUGGACCGGGACAACCCCCCCGGGGACCCUUCUCGCUCCGGGGCUGGGCCAGGACACUCCCCCCGGGACCCCCACACCAGCUUCCGGGCUGGGCCACCCCGUUCCCCCUGCUCCAAGAGGGACGUCCCUAUUCCCAGGUUCCAGUUCCCGUUGGCUGCAGGGAUCAUUGCGGCCCCGAGGGCGCCCCAGCCCAGCCCCGCGGAUAGAGCAGGUGCUGUGAGGGCCCCACCAUGGAACACACAUCCCAAGGCCCUGGGAUUCCAUCCAUGCCUGUUGAGGCACCAGUUCCAGCAGGCAGGGCAGGCCCAGCAGUAAUGGAGCAGCUUUUGCUCUUGUGCUGGGCUGCACAGCCCUGGCAGAACAAGAAGACAGAGCAACAGUAAAGCACCCACGUGAGUGAGAAUCGCAGAACAAAAUGCAAACAACCCAUGUAAACCCAUUUCUAUUCCA